UGACCUCAAAUCAGGUAGGACUACCCGCUGAACUUAAGCAUAUCAAUAAGCGGAGGAAAAGAAACUAACAAGGAUUCCCCUAGUAACUGCGAGUGAAGAGGGAAAAGCUCAAAUUUAAAAUCUGGUACCCUUAGGGUGCUCGAGUUGUAAUUUGGAGAGGCGUUUUCUGUGCUGGACUGUGUAAAAGUUUCUUGGAAUAGAACAUCAUAGAGGGUGAGAAUCCCGUCUUUGACACAGACUACCAGUGCUAUGUGAUACGCUUUCAAAGAGUCGCGUUGUUUGGGAAUGCAGCGCUAAAUGGGUGGUAAAUUCCAUCUAAAGCUAAAUAUUGGCGAGAGACCGAUAGCGAACAAGUACCGUGAGGGAAAGAUGAAAAGCACUUUGGAAAGAGAGUUAAACAGUACGUGAAAUUGUUGAAAGGGAAACGCUUGAAGUCAGUCGCAUUGCUUUGGAUUCAGCCUUGCUCUUUUGCUUGGUGUAUUUCCUUUGUAAUGGGUCAGCAUCAAUUUCGUUCAGUGGAAAAAGGACGGGGGAAGGUGGCACCUCCGGGUGUGUUAUAGCCCCUGUCUGUAUACAUUGAAUGGGAUUGAGGUCUGCAGCACGCCUUUAUGGUCGGGGUUC
RNAcentral lists this ribosomal RNA (621 nucleotides) under Waitea circinata. RNAcentral describes it as "eukaryotic LSU rRNA". It matches the Rfam family "Eukaryotic large subunit ribosomal RNA", at positions 1 to 626 of the family's 3401-position model. The record is from RNAcentral. Lineage: Eukaryota; Fungi; Basidiomycota; Agaricomycetes; Corticiales; Corticiaceae.